Molecule: non-coding RNA, 115 nt
Organism: Ceratotherium simum simum (southern white rhinoceros)
Lineage: Eukaryota; Metazoa; Chordata; Mammalia; Perissodactyla; Rhinocerotidae
Source: RefSeq, a predicted model, not a curated record
AAUCAUCCCAUUUGCAACAACAUGGAUGGACCCUGAGGGCAUUACGCUAAGCGAAAUAAGUCAGAGUAAGACAAAUACCGUAUCAUCUCUCAUAUGUAGAAUCUGAAAAAAAAAC